CCGCACAACCCUAUGAAUGUAACAAAUCGUGAGCGCACGCAUCGUUUUCGAAUUAUUAUUUUAUUUUUUUCGAAUUUAAACCGCGCAAUUUCCGGGAUCCCGUGGUUUCAUCGAAAUUCCAUAUAAUAUUAUCGUUGUCGCCGGAUACUCGACUCUGUUCACGGCAAUUUGUGCCUACACCGAGUACGAUAAUUAUAAUACACCCACUCGGUACCAUAUUAAAGGUACCGGUGGUUACCGGGUAUAUCGUCCAGUACCUACCUAUUCGGCUUUAUACCUAUAGUUCAUAGAUAUACCUAUACCUAACGUCUGUAAGACAUUUUUGCACUCGUCGCGAGUUAUAAGCACACGUAAGCACGCACGCACACUAAUAUAUUUAUGUAGGUACUUACAUAAAAUACAUAUAAUAUAUAAACUUACAAGUACGCACACGAUUUAUUCGACACCGGGUCACGUAUACGGUCCUCGUCUCGUCACUCGGCACGCGUAGGUUACACGCACGUGAUCGCAGCGCGUUCGCAGAUCCGCACCGACUGUUAUGCACGGAGUACGCCCGGUAUAUUGGCGUAUAAAUUAUUCGUUAAGGUAUAAACCGUAUACCUGAACCUUAACACAACUCAUUGCCACACUUCAUAUAUCGAGGCUGCAUUCGUAAUAUAUUUCGUCCACUGCAACUAUAUAAUAUACACACGAGCAUUCGUCAAUAUGUCGUCGUCACAUACAUUCAGUACACUCUCGUCAUUCGUCGUCUAGAGGUCACGCGACAAGUGCGCAUUCAAACCAUUGGYGAAACAUAGAGGGCGACAUAGGUGAACGAGAGGGUCGAUCGAGUACGAUGUCAUUCGAAUUAUUUUGAUACGGCCAAGACUUAGAGGAGACAUAGCCGCCGUGAGCAAGAGGGUCAAUCGCCGCUGCAACCGACGAACGGUCACAGAUUUCUGCACGAAGCCAAUGUAAACGCCUAAUCGUGGACUCCCAACUUCAAUCGAGUUAUUUUUCAAACAGGUUGCACUGUUUCUUGCCUGCUAUCACUCUGGCCAGCGUCCAAGGGUGCCCGACCCCGACAGCCGGACCCGGGCUGAGUUGGUGGACGAUGAUGAAC
Diuraphis noxia (Russian wheat aphid) is the source of this 1102-nucleotide long non-coding RNA. The record is from RefSeq and is a predicted model, not a curated record. NCBI's taxonomy places the organism in Eukaryota, Metazoa, Arthropoda, Insecta, Hemiptera, Aphididae.